This is a non-coding RNA of Microcebus murinus (gray mouse lemur), 2876 nucleotides long. NCBI's taxonomy places the organism in Eukaryota, Metazoa, Chordata, Mammalia, Primates, Cheirogaleidae. The record is from RefSeq and is a predicted model, not a curated record.
UGUUGGCUAAAGUCGCUGUGCAUGUUCAUCUGUGGCUGUCGACUAUAGGUGAAGCUGGUACCGAAGUGGUUAAGAAGCCUUCAGCCAGUGGUCUUGCCAUAGUUAGUUUGGUUUUAUACAUUUUAGGGAGACAGGAAUUACACAUAAAGUUAUAAAUCAACACAUGGAAAGUGUACAUUGGUCUGGCCCGAAAAGACAGGACAUCCUGAUGCAGGAUUACAGGUUACAGGUGGGUUAAGAUUCUUGUAUUUGCAAUGGUAAAGAAAUGAAGCUUUGUUUAAAGGCUUGAAACAGUUUUAAGUGAAGAUAAGGAAGUCUGUUAACCAGAGACCAGCCACUGGACAUACACCAAGAUUCAGCCACCUGUUAACCGCGAAGCUUCGUAACACCGGUGUAGCAGCUGAAGAGUAUGGGCUCUGGGGCCUGACUACUGGAUCUGCCUUGGGGCCAGACCCCUUUGCCUCUGAGCCUCGGUUUCCCCAACCCACCCAAGAGCUUUGUGACCUACGGCAAAUUAUCUCCCAUUUGUGCCCAGGUUGCCAUGGGGGCUGAGACUAUGAAUAGAAACACCUGAAGAAGCCAGCACGGAGCACGCUGCUGAGAGCCAGCCUUCUGCUCCAAUUAGUCUUCGGGAGACCUUGGCCCCCGCAGCCCGGAUUCAACUUGUCUACAGCUGAACUCACUAUCUCACUCUAAACUGGCUCUACCCCUGGUUUUCUCAGUCCAAACCUGACCAUCCCUCCAUUCUCCUCCAGCUCCCUAGUCGCCCUCUCCAAAUCCUGUAGCAUUUGCUUUCUACGUCUCUGUGUGGGACUUGAUCCCACAGUGUGCUGCCACUCCAGUCCCCGCUGCCUCUGCCCAGGUGCAGGUGAUUCGAUCCUGGCUGUCAGAGCAGCUUCCUGGCCGGCCUCCAGCAUUGCCCGCUCCAGUUUUGGGUCCUCAGCGCCCGGUUGGCCCGGCACUCGGGGCUGUGUGGCACAUGGCAGUAAGUGGGUAUCUGCUGCAGCCCUGUGCGAGCAGGGCCAGGUCUGCUCACUGCGAGGAGGGUGGCAGGCCACCCACGCCUGCCUGCACCGCCCACGCACAUCCUUGUCCCCUCUCAGGGUCUAGUUCAAGAACUAGUGGUGCCUUCCAAAGCCCCCUUUUAAAAUAUGUGUUUGUUAGCUACCCAUCACCACUGAGUAAAGCAGGACAUAUUUUGAGAAUGCUUUGCUCUUUCAUUUCCAACCGCGUAGACAGUACAAUGAGUGCAGUUAUUGGAAUGAAAUGUGAGUAGAAGUAACAGCCCAACUUUGGACACAAAGCAACCAAAGAAUAUCCGAGUGAAACUGCUCACAAUUUCCUUGCAGGACAGCCAAGAAAUACAAACUAUUAAUCUUCUGGCCAUCUUGUAAGUUUUUAGUUAGAAAUAAUUAACAAAAAGCUGACAUCAGUUAAAAUAUACUAAUUUAGAUUUAUAAGACUUAGAUUUUGAUUUGCAAAAUCUGACUUGGGAAAAUAAACAUGGGGAAGACAAUAGCUACAAAAGAAAACCCACAAGGGCGAAAGUCAGAAUUGGUUAAAUUGAAUUAAAUUUUCACCAUAAAAUCUCAUGGAAAAAGCAAUCUUAAUGAAAGUAUUUUAAAGUAAAUAUUAAAACGAAAACAGAAAGAAGCAAUUUAAUUGCUCUGUAUAGGAAACUGAUCAAGGAAUUAAACUGGCUUAAUGAAGUAACAGCUCACUCCAGCGGAAUGCUUUACUGAUUAAAUCUGUGGGGUAUGAUUCUUAUUAAAAAUUUAUUUUUUUUAUUUUUCUUACAGAGAAAGGAAAUAGGCAGUUAUUAAAAAUUGAGCUGCCACCUGGGCUUUAGGACUGAGCAGACUCCGAGAUACAGGAAUUAUCUGUUGCCAGAUGCUGUCUCAGGGCCUCCAGCGGGCCCCAGCUGGACCAUCGCGAGGCAGAACUGCAGGGCUCGUGUGGGCCCAGGCCCUCUCGCCUUUGCCUUGCUAUGGGCCCAGCAGAGACUGAACACCUAGUUCAGAGGACAUCAAGUGACCAUGUGGCCUGAGCUGCCCACUACCAACUGAGUGUUCCCACCCACCAAGCCAACUAGGAGUAAUUAACUUAGUUCAGAGAUAGGUAGUAAAUGUCUCUUGGACAGGAGUACCGAUUGACACUUUUUGUUCUAAAUUGCAGAGAGGGUAGGAUAAUAUUUGCUUGGACAAAGGGUAGUUGUAUCUUGUUCCAUGGAGACACAAAGUUAUUUUUUACCAUCGUAUGGAAGUUCAAGUAUGUGUGUAAGCACGUAUGUGUGGGCCAAGCUGGUCCCCUGCAUUAUUGUCUCAGCAGCAAAGCCACCACCCUCUGAACCCCGGCCUGGGCUGCUGCUGACACUUCUUCAGCAGCUCGUUCCCUACAGGACAGGCUGCAGGGCCAGAGGAGAAAAAGGAGGGAUGCCGCCUUCCUGUUUGCUGCUGCUUGGUGAAACCACAGCAACGGGACACUGACUGCUGCGCUCCAGCGCUGGUUCGCUUGCAGUCUCUCCACUCCCAGGAGCAGCCUCGCUGAGCCCUCAGAGGCAGCGGCACCAACCAGACAGCAUGGCCUUCUCUGCAGGGCCCUCCUGAGUCUCCAUCCUACGCUGACCUCUUCCCAGCACUCCGUCCCAGGAGCAAUGACUGCACCUGUGAUGCCUCAGUGUCCCACCCAUUUUCUUUACUAUGUGCUUGACAACUCCUGAUGGGACCCUGAUGGAUACACCUACACACCUUGUGCACUAGCCUGUGUUGUGCACCUUGUCUCGCCAUCUGUGAGCACCAUCUGGGAAGGGACUAACACCUUCUGAGGAUCCCACGCCCUGCCUGAUGCUUAAGUGAUCAAUACUUGUUUGUUGCUUA